GUCCUGUUGUAUUAUUUAAUAGGUCUGGCCUGCCCAGUGAUAAUUUUAACGGCCGCGGUAUAUUGACCGUGCAAAGGUAGCAUAAUCAUUAGUCUUUUAAUAGAAGGCUGGAAUGAAAGGUUUAACGAGAAAUUUACUGUCUCAAUUACAAACUUGAAUUUAUCUUUUGAGUCAAAAGACUUAAAUAUAAUUGAUGGACGAGAAGACCCUAUAGAGCUUAACAAUUCUUUUUCUAUAUUUAUUUAGUAUAAUUAUUUAUAUAUAUUAGUAGGAUUGUUUUGUUGGGGUGACAAUAAAUAUAUAUUUAACUUUUAUCAUGUUGUGAACAUUAAUUUAUGAUUUUUGGAUCCAAAAAUUUUGAUCAAUAGUUUAAGUUACC
Molecule: ribosomal RNA, 379 nt
Filed under: Ischnura hastata
Lineage: Eukaryota; Metazoa; Arthropoda; Insecta; Odonata; Coenagrionidae
Description: partial large subunit ribosomal RNA
Rfam family: Archaeal large subunit ribosomal RNA (bases 1-184)
Source: RNAcentral